UUAUAUCUGCUACAACUCUUA
This 21-nucleotide non-coding RNA is filed under the name Arabidopsis thaliana (thale cress). Lineage: Eukaryota; Viridiplantae; Streptophyta; Magnoliopsida; Brassicales; Brassicaceae. The record is from RNAcentral.